CAGCCGCCGCGGUAAUACGGAGGGUGCAAGCGUUAUCCGGAUUUAUUGGGUUUAAAGGGUCCGUAGGCGGAUCUGUAAGUCAAUGGUGAAAUCUCACAGCUUAACUGUGAAACUGCCAUUGAUACUGCAGGUCUUGAGUAAAUUUGAAGUGGCUGGAAUAAGUAGUGUAGCGGUGAAAUGCAUAGAUAUUACUUAGAACACCAAUUGCGAAGGCAGGUCACUAAGAUUUAACUGACGCUGAUGGACGAAAGCGUGGGGAGCGAACAGGAUUAGAUACCCCGGUAGUCCCUGUCUCUUAUAC
RNAcentral lists this ribosomal RNA (301 nucleotides) under uncultured bacterium. Its description in RNAcentral is "partial 16S ribosomal RNA". It matches the Rfam family "Bacterial small subunit ribosomal RNA", at positions 509 to 807 of the family's 1533-position model. The record is from RNAcentral.